RNAcentral lists this ribosomal RNA (253 nucleotides) under uncultured bacterium. RNAcentral describes it as "partial 16S ribosomal RNA". It matches the Rfam family "Bacterial small subunit ribosomal RNA", at positions 524 to 776 of the family's 1533-position model. The record is from RNAcentral.
GACGUAGGGCGCGAGCGUUGUCCGGAUUUAUUGGGCGUAAAGAGCUCGUAGGCGGCCUGUCGCGUCUGCUGUGAAAACUCGGGGCUUAACCCCGGGCCUGCAGUGGGUACGGGCAGACUAGAGUGCGGUAGGGGAGACUGGAAUUCCUGGUGUAGCGGUGAAAUGCGCAGAUAUCAGGAGGAACACCGGUAGCGAAGGCGGGUCUCUGGGCCGUAACUGACGCUGAGGAGCGAAAGCGUGGGGAGCGAACAGG